CUUCAUUUAAAUAUCGUUCAUCGUCUCCUCGCGGACCCUAACAAGCGGACGCCUAAAUCCCGUUAUUCUGCAGAUCCGAUGUUACAAAACACAUUUGGGGACCUUUGACCAGCUUUUAUUGCUCCAGUAUAUUAUGCAGCAAUAUGAACCACGGUCUGCCGCAGCUUUGCCCUCGAUUCCUCUGCCGCAAGUCCACUGCAAGCUGUAAGUUUACAGAGGGUCUAGAGCCUAUCCGAGGAAGUACGGGACACAAGGCAGGGAACAACCUGGAUGAGGGACCAGAAUUCCAUUCCCUCCAAAAC
This is a long non-coding RNA of Brienomyrus brachyistius, 302 nucleotides long. RefSeq lists it as uncharacterized. NCBI's taxonomy places the organism in Eukaryota, Metazoa, Chordata, Actinopteri, Osteoglossiformes, Mormyridae. The transcript has 3 exons. The record is from RefSeq and is a predicted model, not a curated record.